GCAACCUCCUCCUCUACGCCUGUCGCUGUGGCCCCUCCCUUCAAAGGCAUAACCUCUCCUAAUCCCCCUCCCCCGGUUUCCAUGGAGACGGCUCAGACAAGCAGGUGACGCAUUGACAGGGAGCAGAUGGUUGCCCGUGGAGGCACCUUGUUAUCUGUCCUUUGUCAGUAAGGCCAUCUUGUGGGAUCGAGGACUCUACCACUACACAGACCACACUGUCCGUGAUGGACGUCCUUCUCUGUGUCCUCGUUUCCUGGUUCACAUGAAGGCCUGUCCUGCAGACCUCAGAACCCCACAUCUCCUAUCCAAUAACCCCAGGCCACGUCCUCCUCGCCAGGAAUUGACACAACAAAGACACGCCCUUGGCGGCCUGAAGACGCAUUCAUGUGCAGACUCCAGGAGCCUGCAGCACUGCAGCACCACCAGAGGGAGGCGCUUAGCUGUUGUUGUUCCCUGUGUACCAGUGCCAGUCUCCCCCUCUCCCAGCAGAGCCUCCCCUGAGCUCUCAGUCUGUCCAAGUCCAACAUCCUCUACUGUCACUGACUCUGGGCAGCAGGGGACUGGAUACAACCCUGCUCCAUCAUCAGCCCUACCUCAUGGCCAUACUCAGAAAGGAGAGAAGGAAACAGAGGAUGGUGUUAAAGAGAUGGAUGAAGGCACUUCGGCUUCCUCAGGGGCCUUCCGCCCUCCAAGGCCAGACCAGGAGCCCAAUUCUGGUCCUGAGGACAUAGACCCCUCAGUUUCUCCAAUCCCUAGUGUCUGUGAGGGUUCUCUCUCAGACUUUAGCCGCCCACCAUCCAGCCAGUUCAGCCGAAGCACAGACCUGGGUAGUGGCCGGAGCAGUCCUCUAUGUGGUAUUGUACCUACGCUGCUUUGAAACAAUUGAAGUGAAAUGUAUUGAAAGCUGUUGCAUUCCCCAUGGGCUAUUAGUUGUUUCAUAAAUGUAGAAA
RNAcentral lists this long non-coding RNA (950 nucleotides) under Oncorhynchus kisutch (coho salmon). RNAcentral's name for it is "lncRNA (ENSOKIG00005046915.1)". Lineage: Eukaryota; Metazoa; Chordata; Actinopteri; Salmoniformes; Salmonidae. The record is from RNAcentral.